GGCCUCAUGGCUCAGUUGGCAGAGCAUUGGACUAGUAUCCCAAAGGUCGCGGGUUCGAUUCCCACCGUGGUCA
Molecule: non-coding RNA, 73 nt
Organism: Paramuricea clavata
Lineage: Eukaryota; Metazoa; Cnidaria; Anthozoa; Malacalcyonacea; Plexauridae
Source: the annotation of a GenBank genome assembly